AACGAACGCUGGCGGCAUGCCUAACACAUGCAAGUCGAACGAGACCUUCGGGUCUAGUGGCGCACGGGUGCGUAACGCGUGGGAACCUGCCCUUAGGUUCGGAAUAACUCCCCGAAAGGGGUGCUAAUACCGGAUAAUGUCUUCGGACCAAAGAUUUAUCGCCUUUGGAUGGGCCCGCGUUGGAUUAGCUAGUUGGUAGGGUAAAAGCCUACCAAGGCGACGAUCCAUAGCUGGUCUGAGAGGAUGAUCAGCCACACUGGGACUGAGACACGGCCCAGACUCCUACGGGAGGCAGCAGUGGGGAAUAUUGGACAAUGGGCGAAAGCCUGAUCCAGCAAUGCCGCGUGAGUGAUGAAGGCCUUAGGGUUGUAAAGCUCUUUUACCCGGGAUGAUAAGGACAGUACCGGGAGAAGAAGCUCCGGCGAACUCCGU
This 432-nucleotide ribosomal RNA is filed under the name uncultured bacterium. RNAcentral's name for it is "partial 16S ribosomal RNA". It matches the Rfam family "Bacterial small subunit ribosomal RNA", at positions 29 to 506 of the family's 1533-position model. The record is from RNAcentral.